AUGCCUCCUCGGGUAAAGGUGUUCUUGUGGCUUGCACAAAGAGGAUGCAUCCUCACUAAGGACAACUUAAUCAAGAGGGGAUGGCGUGGUGAUAGUAAGUGCUCCUUCUGUGGGAGGGAAGAAGAUAUUAAUCAUCUCUUUUUCCACUAUUCUGUUGCCAGGAUGUUGUGGAUGGUUAUGAAAUGCUCAUUUGCUAUGCAUGGCAUUCCGAGAAUAUCAAAAUCUAUUUGGGGUUUGGAUCAGAAAAUUUGA
Molecule: ribosomal RNA, 252 nt
Filed under: Triticum aestivum (bread wheat)
Lineage: Eukaryota; Viridiplantae; Streptophyta; Magnoliopsida; Poales; Poaceae
Description: partial small subunit ribosomal RNA
Source: RNAcentral